This 70-nucleotide transfer RNA is filed under the name Loxodonta africana (African savanna elephant). It matches the Rfam family "tRNA". From Rfam's summary of the family: Transfer RNA (tRNA) molecules are approximately 80 nucleotides in length. Their secondary structure includes four short double-helical elements and three loops (D, anti-codon, and T loops). The record is from Rfam by way of RNAcentral. Lineage: Eukaryota; Metazoa; Chordata; Mammalia; Proboscidea; Elephantidae.
GCAGUGGUGGUUCAGUGGUAGAAUUCUCACAUCCCAUGUGUGAGAUCCAGGUUCAAUCCUGGCCAAUUCG